UUUUGCUUUUACAAAUGAGAAAACUGAGGCUCAAAAAGGCUAAGUCAUCUUCCCACGGCCACACAGCUGAUCAUUGUUCAGGGCUGAGUCUGUGCCUGAUUCUGCUGAGACCAUCAAGCCCUAAUCCACUCCUACUCAUCUCAUCUGUCUGAGUCCAUUGGGGGGCCUCACCGGCAUUCCCUGUUGUCUGUUUGGCUGGGGAGGGGAGUGUCUGGCAGCCUCAGCAGGAAAGAUGAGGGAGCAAUCUGAUCAAGACGGUCAGCGCAUUUUAUUGAGAGUGUCAAAGCAUCAGGCUUGUUUAGAGCCAGGAGUUGGGAUUAUUCCUAAGUUUUGGUUCCCCCACGGUCCUGGGUGGAUAUUUGCAUGGUAUGUCUGGGUUUGAAUUUCAGACUUAUUCUCGAUUUUUUAUUUCAGGAUCUAACUUGGCAAGAUGAGCACUCUGCCCCUUUCUCCUGGGAAACAAGGAGUCAGAUGGAGUUCAGUAUCUCCGCCCUAUCCAUCCAGGAGCCGAGCAACGGCACCACC
This 525-nucleotide small RNA is filed under the name Pan troglodytes (chimpanzee). RNAcentral describes it as "retained intron". The record is from RNAcentral. Lineage: Eukaryota; Metazoa; Chordata; Mammalia; Primates; Hominidae.